GACGAACGCUGGCGGCGUGCUUAACACAUGCAAGUCGUACGGUAAGGCCCUUUCGGGGGUACACGAGUGGCGAACGGGUGAGUAACACGUGAGUAACCUGCCCACAACUUUGGGAUAACGCUAGGAAACUGGUGCUAAUACUGGAUAUGUGCUCCUGCUGCAUGGUGGGGGUUGGAAAGCUCCGGCGGUUGUGGAUGGACUCGCGGCCUAUCAGCUUGUUGGUGGGGUAGUGGCCUACCAAGGCGGCGACGGGGAGCCGGCCUGAGAGGGUGAGCGGCCACAUUGGGACUGAGAGACGGCCCAGACUCCUACGGGAGGCAGCAGUGGGGAAUAUUGCACAAUGGGCGCAAGCCUGAUGCAGCAACGCCGCGUGCGGGAUGACGGCCUUCGGGUUGUAAACCGCUUUCAGCAGGGACGAAGCUUUUUGUGACGGUACCUGCAGAAGAAGCACCGGCUAACUACGUG
Molecule: ribosomal RNA, 465 nt
Filed under: uncultured bacterium
Lineage: Bacteria
Description: partial 16S ribosomal RNA
Rfam family: Bacterial small subunit ribosomal RNA
Source: RNAcentral